AUGGCGAGGAACGCCGCCGCCGCCGCCGCCGCGAGGUUACUCGCCGACUCCCCAUCUCCCUUCCAUUCCAGUCACCACCACCACCGCCGCCGUGCCCUCCCAGUCCCCACAUCCCGCUCCAAGACCUCCUCCGCCAAGCCUGCUCCUCCAUCUCCUCGCACCGACACCACCGGCGAUCCAGCUGCAGCCAUUUCCACCGGGCCCCGCCCAUCUCUCUUCCAAGAAAUCUCCGGCCUCAUCGCCCCUGCCGCCGGCACGGUCAGCGACCCCCCAUUUCAAUCCCGAUUGAAUAGACAGUCGGGGAGGAGCGGCAACGAGGCCCCUGCGCAAUGCACGGAAGGUGCUCGGCCAAAUGCUCCAGAGACUUUUGCCUUUCUCACCGGCAGAGCUCCUGACCAAGGGGUUCCCGAUGGCCCUUCUGACAGCCCGGGUGGCAACGCAAAAGGCUCUGCCCCAAGCCAGGAAGCAUCAUCUCACGAGGUGGUGGCAGGUGCGCUCGCCCAAGAUCCUGACAUUGACAGUGCCCAAGUGCAAAAGAUCACCGAGGUUUUACGGUCAGAGGUGCCCGGAUUGCCUUUCGAGGAGAGGCUGGGUUGCUUGGGGGUCGUGUACACGCCGAGGAUCGUCAACAUGGUGCUCAAGAGGUGCUUCAAGAAGCCGCACCUGGGGCUCAGGUUCCACUACUGGGUUAAGCAACUUCCAGGGUUCCACCACACUACAGAGACAUACAACACGACGCUGUUUAUUGCAGGCGAAGCGAGGAGUUUUGGGUUGAUGGAGGAGCUGAUGGGCGAGAUGGAUAAGGAGAUGUGCCCCAAGGAUAUCAAGACGUGGACAAUUAUCAUAGCCAGUUAUGGGAAGGCAAGGCAGGUUGGCAAGAUGCUGUCUGCAUUUCAUGCUAUGAAGAAAUCUCGUUCCGUGGCAGUAGACACUAGAGUCUAUAGGACGAUUCUUCGUGCUUUGUGCAACAAUGCAAGGCAUGAGCUUGCUCUUGAGUUCUACAAGGACAUGCCCGCCAACAUGGAUGUCGGAUCUGACAUUCUGCGGCUUCUGCUGUGCUUGCUGGCUGGAUCAAACAGUGCUGAAGCUGUCUUCAUUAUCAGAGAUGAUAUGAUUAAAAGCGCGAGGUAUCCAGAGGAGUAUUGCUACUUGGAAGCUCUACGGAGCUUCUGUGUCUCAGGAAAACUAGCAGAAGCUCAGAAAGUCUUUCAGCAGAUGAUGAACAAGUCCAUGGAUAGCUCAUCUGCUUUUGAAACCCUCUUGAGGGGGCUGUGCAAAAGCGGAAGGAUGGAUGAAGCUCUUAAGCUAACGGAGCAUAUGAAGAACAGAUCAUCUAUUAGCAGCAUGGCGUUUGGUUUUCUCAUCGAUGGCUACCUCAGGAAAGGAGAACGUACAAAGGCACUUCAGUUGCUGCAGGGAAUGAGAGAGUAUGGUUGUAUUCCAUUGGCCUCCUCUUACACUCAGCUCAUGCAGCACCUCUUUGCAUCUGAUCAGUAUAAAGAAGCCUGUGAACUGUAUGAGGAGAUGCAGGAAGUUGGUGUUCAACCAGAUAUUGUAACAAUCACAGCAUUGAUAGCCGGGCAUAUUCGCAGUGGACAUAUUUCUGAAGCAUGGGAUAUUCUCAAAAAAAUGAGCGAGAACGGUCAAAGGCCCACAAUUAAAGCUUAUACAGUGUUCAUCCAUGAGCUCUGUAAGGCCUCCAAGCCCCUCGAGUCGUUGGAACUUCUGAAGGAAAUGUUGAAAUUUGACUUCAGGCCUUCUGAAGAAACUUUCUGCCGGAUUAUUUCUUCCUUGCGUGAGAAUAAUUAUCUGGAGGAAGCUAUUAAUGUUGAGAGAAUGCGGGCACCUUUUGAUAUUAAAAAGCCUAAAGGUGAGACGGAAAUCAGAUCAUUAGAGAAAACUGACACAGUUGAUGAGUUCCAGAAAUUAUCCGAGUGUGAACUGGAGGAGAAGAAAAUGAUAUUUGGGUCUGUUGUUCUUCCAUCUGAUAAAGACUCUGAGAUAUCGAGGUGCACACUUCGUGAUAACGAAAAUCACAUCGAACUAACAAAGGGCUACAGCGACGAAGAUGUUGAAAGGAUAUACCAAAUUCUGUCAUCUUCUGACGACUGGAGCUCAAUGCAGCAGGCACUUGAGAUGAGAUCACUGCAUUUUACACCAAACCUUGUCAAUGCCAUCAUGAAGUGCUGCAAGAGAAAUGGCCAUGCUGCUUUGAAGUUUUUCUCUUGGGUAGGGAAACGACCCUCCUACAUGCACACAACAGAAACGUACAACACAGCUAUGAAACUCGCAGGCUCCACGAAAGAUUUUAAGCACAUGAGGCACCUUUACAGAGAAAUGGCAUGGGCACAAUGUUCUCCAACAGUGGACACAUGGAAUGUCAUGAUUUGCCAGUACGGUAAUGCUGGUCUCACUGAAAUGGCCUUGAAGACAUUUUAUAAGAUGAAGCAAGAAGGCUUUCAGCCUUCCAAAAGUACAUACAGUCACCUGAUAAUGUAUCUCUGCCGCAGAAAAGGCCGAAAAAUAGGCGCUGCAAUCAAGAUCUUGAAGGAAAUGAUUCAUGCAGGUUAUAUGCCUGAUAAUGAUGCGCUUUGCACGUAUCUUUCAGCGUUAUGUGAGUGCGGGAUGUUGGCUGAUGCAAGAAGCUCAAUAGUAUCCCUAUGUGAACACGGAUUUACUACACAGAUUGGCUACUCCAUACUCCUUAGAUCAUUGUGCAGGUCUGAUAGAAAAGAGGAAGCUGUCAGUUUGUUUGAUGAUAUGGAGAGAUAUGGCUGCUCCAGAAAUGACUACAUGUAUGGAAGCUUCAUUCAUGCGUUACUGAGGUGGGAUCGCUUUGAAGACGCUGUAGCCAAAUUUGAAGAACUGAAGAAUGCAGGCAUAUGUCCAAGCACCCAUAUGUAUACCUCGUUCAUCAUUUACUUCUUUCAGAAAAGAGAUGUUGUCAAGGCAAUGGAUAUGUUCAAGGAGAUGGUAGACGAUGGAUGUGUGCCUUCAGUCGUCACAUACUCCGCGUUAAUACGCGGUUACAUGGAAGUAGGCAUGGUUUCAGAAGCCUGGGAUGUCUUACGGCACAUGAAACUGAAAGGACCAUCGCCAGACUUUGUGACCUACUCGAUGUUCAUAACGUACCUCUGCAAAGCUUGUAGAUCGGAGGAUGGGUUGCAGCUGAUUCAUGAUAUGCUGGAUGGUGGCAUCACCCCCAGCACAGUAAACUUCAGGACUGUUUUUCAUGGCCUGAAUAUGGAGGGCAAGCACAAGCUAGCCGACUCCGUCCUCCAGUCAAAAUGGCAUCUGCGGAGGCAAAGGAGCUUCUCAGAUUCUUCGUUUGUU
This 3333-nucleotide ribosomal RNA is filed under the name Triticum aestivum (bread wheat). RNAcentral describes it as "partial small subunit ribosomal RNA". The record is from RNAcentral. Lineage: Eukaryota; Viridiplantae; Streptophyta; Magnoliopsida; Poales; Poaceae.